ACUCGUUCCGGCAGGUCAAGGUCUUUCCUGUACUGGGGACCCCAGAGCUGGAUGCAGUACUCUAGAGAUCAUGAGAUUGCUUUAGUAUCUGCUGGCUUUAGGGUAUUUACAUUACCACUCAGUUCAUUAUAUAGAAAGGCAGAGCAAGAUUCUCUCUGAAGGCUGCCCCUUUCUGAAGAAAGUUAGUUUUUGAGAAGCAGCAGUAUUUCUGGGAAGAAGGAACUUGCUUUAAGGAUACCAGAGAGAACUCAGCAUCUCCCUCUCAGAGAGCAGUGAGAUCAUCCCUCAGCCUACCUUUUUCCAAACUAGACAAGCCUGGUGAACACAGCUGCUCCUCGUGGGACAUUCCUUCCAACCUUGUUACCAGCUUUGUUGCCCUCCUCUGGACACAUUCAAGGACCUUCACAUUCUUCUUAAACUGUGGGGCC
Molecule: long non-coding RNA, 428 nt
Organism: Corapipo altera (White-ruffed manakin)
Lineage: Eukaryota; Metazoa; Chordata; Aves; Passeriformes; Pipridae
Exons: 3
Source: RefSeq, a predicted model, not a curated record